Molecule: ribosomal RNA, 1435 nt
Filed under: uncultured marine bacterium
Lineage: Bacteria
Description: bacterial SSU rRNA
Rfam family: Bacterial small subunit ribosomal RNA
Source: RNAcentral
GAGUUUGAUCCUGGCUCAGAACGUACGCUGGCGGCACGCCUAACACAUGCAAGUCGAACGAAGUAGCAAUACUUAGUGGCAGACGGGUGAGUAACAUGUGGGUAUCUGCCCUUUGGCCUGGAAUAACACGAGGAAACUUGUGCUAAUACCGGAUAAGUCUUUACGGAGAAAGCUUUAUGCACCAUUGGAUGAGCCUGCACUUGAUUAGUUUGUUGGUGGGGUAAUGGCCUACCAAGACUGUGAUCAAUAGCUGAUUUGAGAGGAUGAUCAGCCACAUUGGGACUGAGACACGGCCCAAACUCCUACGGGAGGCAGCAGUGGGGAAUCUUGCACAAUGGAGGAAACUCUGAUGCAGCGAUGCCGCGUGAGUGAAGAAGGCCCUUGGGUUGUAAAGCUCUUUCGUCGGGGAAGAAAAUGACUGUACCCGAAUAAGAAGGUCCGGCUAACUUCGUGCCAGCAGCCGCGGUAAUACGAAGGGACCUAGCGUAGUUCGGAAUUACUGGGCUUAAAGAGUUCGUAGGUGGUUGAAAAAGUUGGUGGUGAAAUCCCAGAGCUUAACUCUGGAACUGCCAUCAAAACUUUUCAGCUAGAGUAUGAUAGAGGAAAGCAGAAUUUCUAGUGUAGAGGUGAAAUUCGUAGAUAUUAGAAAGAAUACCAAUUGCGAAGGCAGCUUUCUGGAUCAUUACUGACACUGAGGAACGAAAGCAUGGGUAGCGAAGAGGAUUAGAUACCCUCGUAGUCCAUGCCGUAAACGAUGUGUGUUAGACGUUGGAAAUUUAUUUUCAGUGUCGCAGCGAAAGCGAUAAACACACCGCCUGGGGAGUACGACCGCAAGGUUAAAACUCAAAUGAAUUGACGGGGACCCGCACAAGUAGUGGAGCAUGUGGUUUAAUUCGAAGAUACGCGCAGAACCUUACCAACACUUGACAUGUUCGUCGCGACUCUAAGAGAUUAGAGUUUUCGGUUCGGCCGGACGAAACACAGGUGCUGCAUGGCUGUCGUCCGCUCGUGUCGUGAGAUGUUGGGUUAAGUCCCGCAACGAGCGCAACCCUCACUUUUAGUUGCCAUCAUUAAGUUGGGCACUCUGAAAGAACUGCCAGUGAUAAGCUGGAGGAAGGUGGGGAUGACGUCAAGUCCUCAUGGCCCUUACGUGUUGGGCUACACACGUGCUACAAUGGUAUCUACAACAGGAAGCGAAACUGCGAAGUUAAGCAAAUCCUUAAAAGAUACCUCAGUUCGGAUUGCACUCUGCAACUCGAGUGCAUGAAGCUGGAAUUACUAGUAAUCGCGGAUCAGCGCGCCGCGGUGAAUACGUUCCCGGGUCUUGUACACACCGCCCGUCACACCAUGGGAGUUGGUUCUACCUUAAGGCAAGGUUUAAAACCCUUGACCACGGUAUAGUCAGCGACUGGGGUGAAGUCGUAACAAGGUAACC